Ailuropoda melanoleuca (giant panda) is the source of this 1913-nucleotide long non-coding RNA. RefSeq lists it as uncharacterized. Lineage: Eukaryota; Metazoa; Chordata; Mammalia; Carnivora; Ursidae. The transcript has 3 exons. The record is from RefSeq and is a predicted model, not a curated record.
CCUGGGGGGUGGUGGCCGGGGGGGCCUCGUCCCGGGGGACUGAAGGACCGCGGGCCUUACACUGGGCUUCCUCUGCCGGCCCUGCCAGGUGAUGGUUAGGUGAGAAAUGACGCCCAAGGCUUUCGUGAGAUAAAACAACCAACUGCAGCUACGCCUGUGGCCUUGGCCGGGCGGGGGACCUCGCCAGCCUCCCCCUGGCCCUGGCUGUCGUCGGGCCUGGCCGUUCCGCCGUGAAGGGUCCACAGACCCUCUUCCUCCGUCCCCUCCACGAGCGCCCUGCCCUGCCCCUGCCAGCCCUCCUCCCCUCUCACAGGACCACCCUGGCUCCCGAAAGUCCCCCUGUCCCUCGCGGUCACCCCUCCCCAGUGUCUGUUUUCAGCCGUAUUCCUGCCUCUCCUUCCAGCCCCACAGUCCUGGGCUGCCGGCCAAGUAGGACUGCUGGCCAGCCCCCAAAUGCUUCCCAUGUUUGACUCGCCCCACGGGUGCCAUUCCCUCUGCCUGACUGCCCUUUCAUCCCCUUCCCACCUGCUGAAAUUCUAGCCACCUGUUGAGACAGCUGGGGUGUUAGUUCCUUGGGGAAAACCCCAAGACCUGCCCUCCUGUCCCCUCUCCCUACUCGGAGCUCCCUCGCACUUGAUUCCUACCUCCCCUGGGGAACCUUACCGCAUUCUUUCCUGCUAUGUAUCUUUGAGAAGAUCUUCCUCCAGCUGUCUUUGCUUCUGGAACAGAAACCUGUUUUCCCCCAGUGACUAUAAAACAAAGACUAAAUGACCUUCUCCAAUCUCUGUUGAAUCUCUGCAACAAUCCCAUGAGGAAACUGAGGUACAGUGGAAUUACUGAGGGGUCAUCUGUUCAACAAGGCUUCCCAAGAGGAGUCCUAUCCGGUGCACUGUGAGGACAAGAAAUGAGUAAGCGCCAGCCCUACCCUCCAAGUCUAGAGGCGGAGAAACCCAGACACUGAGACAGUGACAGACUAGCAGGGAACCUGCCUCCUGACUCAGUCUCCCCGCUUGGUGAAAUCCACCUGCAGUCUCCCUGUUGCUCAGCCUCUCUUCCUUCUCCAGAGGAUGCGGAGGGGGGCUGAAAAUUCCAGACUUCUGAUCGUGGCUGCUGGGUCUUUCUCAUGACCAGACCCCCUGGAGGUCACCUCAUGACCGGAGCCCACCUGGGGUCACCUCAUUAGAACGAAGGACACUCCCGUCACCCAGGAAAUUACAAAGGUUUCAGGGGCCCCAUGCUGGGAACCAGGGGCAAAGCUGUUAUAGUGUCUUUAAACAUUUCAGUUUAAAUAAUGUAAUGUAUAUGUGUGGUAUGGGUUUGAACCUGUCACUACAGAAACUACAGAAACCCAUAACUACAGAAAACUACAGCCCAUGGACAAGCUUUGGCCCAGUGCCUCCUUUUGGACAGCUAAGAAUUAUUUUUACACUUACACUUUUAAAUGGGUCAUAGAAAUCAAAAGAUAAUGCUUUGAGGGACUUCAAUUAUAUAAAAUUCAGAUUGCAGUGCUGGUAGGUAACGUCUAGCUGGAACACAGCCAGGCCCAUGUGCCUGGUAUGACAGCAUUCAGAGCAGAGGCGAGAAGAUGGAGCACAGACUGUGUGGCUGGGGGUCCUGCAGAGCCCAAGCUCUCCCAUGUGGCCCUAACAGAGAAAGCUUGCUGAACCAUAGAGCGAUGGUGUUCAGACGUUUUGGUCUCAAGACUAUUUCUCACUCUUAAAAUUUGAGGCCCCAAACUUUGUUUAUAUACAGAUUAAUAUUUAUCAUAAGUUAAAAUUGCAAAUGACCCCUACCGCUGUAUUAAAAUGUGUUUUAAAUAAUUAAACAGUAACCCAGUAUAUGUUAGCUUAGUUCAGGUAUUUUUUUGAAAAAGAAUAUUUUCAAAGACAAUAAACAUUUAAUGAGAAGAGUGG